This 73-nucleotide transfer RNA is filed under the name bacterium. Its description in RNAcentral is "tRNA-Ile". It matches the Rfam family "tRNA". From Rfam's summary of the family: Transfer RNA (tRNA) molecules are approximately 80 nucleotides in length. Their secondary structure includes four short double-helical elements and three loops (D, anti-codon, and T loops). RNAcentral also lists the same sequence under 4 other names. The record is from RNAcentral.
GGGCCCGUAGCUCAACCGGCAGAGCAGCGGACUCAUAAUCCGUUGGUUCGGGGUUCGAGUCCCUGCGGGCCCA